ACAUGCAGGCAUUGAAGAUAGCACAAGAGGUUUUGUGCCUCUCAAUUUCAUCAAGUGUGCCAAAAGAUUCGUUCAACACUUGAAGUAUUUCUUUCGACUAAGCAUCCACAAAUUUGUGACUGAACUCAUCAUUCAUAGCCACUCUCAUAAUGCAACGCAUUGUGGUGCAGUCAUUGAGCCACUUCUGAUAAGUAUCUCUGAUCGCACCAUA
RNAcentral lists this long non-coding RNA (211 nucleotides) under Elaeis guineensis (African oil palm). RNAcentral describes it as "long non-coding RNA (EGUI_LNC065295)". The record is from RNAcentral. Lineage: Eukaryota; Viridiplantae; Streptophyta; Magnoliopsida; Arecales; Arecaceae.